UAGCCGCCGAGUAUUCUUCUCCCGGACCGGCAUCAGUAACUCUGCCUUCCACUAUUGGUAAGUUCGUUUAUGAACCAUUUAUCAGUCUCAGAACGGGGAUACGCCCAUUAACGAUUUAAGGUCGUAGUUUGCUACGACAUUCGAUUUAGCAUUUCAGUCUUAGGGGGAAAAAAAAAUAUUAAUUCUGUGCAGAAUUUUAUAGAUCGUAAACCGUAAUCUCCGUACAGAUCUAAAUCCGAUGCUCUAGAAUCCAGGACUACAAACAACCUAGUCGUAUAAGGGUAUUUAUGUUUUCGAUAACUAUCAGAAAUUCUCGUCUGGUUAUUGUUGAUAAUCUUAUAUCUUAAAUAGCCCGAGAGAACGGCGAAUAAUUCGAAUUAAUUGAUCGAUGCAAUCAAAGUAUACGGAGGUGCGAAAGGCCAACAGCUGCUCAAUGACCCGCUUCUAAGCGAAAACGGGUUGCGAGGGAGAGUAACGCCAUAUUUGGAAUUGGAUAUCGACCAAGUAGGUGAGAUCGGUCUGCCUCCACGCUUACGUAAUGCCUGACCUACACCGAGUCUGACCUCUGAUGAAGAAUGGAUGGCCUUGGAGAACCGGUUUCUUCCCUGGCCUACAUUCAAUAUGAAUGGGAUAGCGGCUGUGUCCAUCUCGCACGAAAAUUAAUCUUAAAUGCGUGUUGUCGACAAUAUCAACUCCUCAUUCCGCCUCUAUCAGAGGCUCGCAUUACAAAAAAAAAUUUGUUUAAGUUCGGAAUAAAGCAAACUAUACUCGAAAAAUGACUUGUGUACCGAUAGUUCCGCAUCAUUUUAUGUAUUCAGCACUUAUUCUAACCUUUAAUUAAGAGAAAAAAAACGGC
This 856-nucleotide long non-coding RNA is filed under the name Androctonus crassicauda. The record is from RNAcentral. Lineage: Eukaryota; Metazoa; Arthropoda; Arachnida; Scorpiones; Buthidae.